GAUGAACGCUGGCGGCGUGCCUAAUACAUGCAAGUCGAGCGAACAGACGAGGAGCUUGCUCCUCUGACGUUAGCGGCGGACGGGUGAGUAACACGUGGAUAACCUACCUAUAAGACUGGGAUAACUUCGGGAAACCGGAGCUAAUACCGGAUAACAUGUUGAACCGCAUGGUUCAACAGUGAAAGACGGUUUUGCUGUCACUUAUAGAUGGAUCCGCGUCGCAUUAGCUAGUUGGUAAGGUAACGACUUACCAAGGCAACGAUGCGUAGCCGACCUGAGAGGGUGAUCGGCCACACUGGAACUGAGACACGGUCCAGACUCCUACGGGAGGCAGCAGUAGGGAAUCUUCCGCAAUGGGCGAAAGCCUGACGGAGCAACGCCGCGUGAGUGAAGAAGGUCUUCGGAUCGUAAAACUCUGUUAUUAGGGAAGAACAAAUGUGUAAGUAACUAUGCACGUCUUGACGGUACCUAAUCAGAAAGCCACGGCUAACUACGUG
This 497-nucleotide ribosomal RNA is filed under the name uncultured bacterium. RNAcentral describes it as "partial 16S ribosomal RNA". It matches the Rfam family "Bacterial small subunit ribosomal RNA", at positions 28 to 507 of the family's 1533-position model. The record is from RNAcentral.